UGUUUUUGAGGUCGGAAAUGGUUCCCGACACACUCUAUGUAUGUAGAGUACCUGAGAUGAUGGAUACACCGCCCAUCCAAAAAUA
RNAcentral lists this non-coding RNA (85 nucleotides) under unclassified sequences. RNAcentral describes it as "skipping-rope RNA". It matches the Rfam family "skipping-rope RNA". Rfam says of the family: Firmicutes, Fusobacteria, AlphaProteobacteria, Spirochaetes. Downstream gene The record is from Rfam by way of RNAcentral.